RNAcentral lists this ribosomal RNA (463 nucleotides) under uncultured bacterium. Its description in RNAcentral is "partial 16S ribosomal RNA". It matches the Rfam family "Bacterial small subunit ribosomal RNA", at positions 28 to 507 of the family's 1533-position model. The record is from RNAcentral.
GAUGAACGCUGACAGAAUGCUUAACACAUGCAAGUCGAUGGGGAAGUGGUGCUUGCACCAUGGCAACCAUGGCGGACGGGUGAGUAACGCGUAAGGGACUUACCUGCAGGACUGGGAUAACAGGGGGAAACUCCUGACAAGACCGGAUAAUGUCAUGGAGCUGCAUGGCUUUAUGAUGAAAGGAGACGCCUGCGGAGAGCCUUGCGUCCUAUUAGCUAGUUGGUGAGGUAAUGGCUCACCAAGGCGAAGAUAGGUAGCCGGCCUGAGAGGGUGGACGGCCACAAGGGGAAUGAGAUACGGCCCUUACUCCUACGGGAGGAAGCAGGGGGGAAUAUUGGACAAUGGGGGCAACCCUGAUCCAGCAAUUCUGUGUGCACGAAGAAGGUUUUCGGAAUGUAAAGUGCUUUCAGCAGGGAAGAAGUAAGUGACGGUACCUGCAGAAGAAGCGACGGCUAAAUACGUG